GGGAGCUAUGGGGUUGGAAGGAACUGGCAGACGCAGAAAGACACAAGCUAUCCUCACUAUUGUCUGUAAAAGAGUAUACUCACGAUCAUUGACGAAUGAUAUAGCAAGAAAAAUAUGGGAAGAAAAGGCAAGAGCCAUCUUCACCAACCCAAAAGUUAGGUGUUCCUUCACAUGGGAUUCCUGCUAGCUGCAAACAAACAGAACAUACUUCGAUUCAUUCAACAUGCUCAGUAAACCUCAAUAAAUUAUAGUUAUUCCCAGUGACCUCCAACAUCUAGUUGCGGGCUAAUAAUUUGCCAAGGCCUAUGACCAUCCUGUUAGAUUGCAGUACGACAAAUAUGGGUUUCAAUUGUUAAAGCAUUAACAGUAAAAUCUGAGGAACUCAACCUCAUAAAGGU
Prosopis cineraria is the source of this 398-nucleotide long non-coding RNA. RefSeq lists it as uncharacterized. NCBI's taxonomy places the organism in Eukaryota, Viridiplantae, Streptophyta, Magnoliopsida, Fabales, Fabaceae. The record is from RefSeq and is a predicted model, not a curated record. The transcript has 3 exons.